This 482-nucleotide ribosomal RNA is filed under the name uncultured bacterium. Its description in RNAcentral is "partial 16S ribosomal RNA". It matches the Rfam family "Bacterial small subunit ribosomal RNA", at positions 28 to 523 of the family's 1533-position model. The record is from RNAcentral.
GACGAACGCUGGAGGCGUGCUUAACACAUGCAAGUCGAACGAUGAAAUGGAGCUUGCUCCAUGGAUUAGUGGCGAACGGGUGAGUAACACGUGAAUAACCUGCCCUUAAUUUUGGAAUAACCCAGGGAAACCUGGGCUAAUACCGGAUAAGUAAACCUGUGGCAUCACAUGGUUUUGGAAAGUUUUUCGAUUAAGGAUGGAUUCGCGGCCUAUCAGCUUGUUGGUGAGGUAACGGCUCACCAAGGCGACGACGGGUAGCCGGCCUGAGAGGGUGAACGGCCACACUGGGACUGAGACACGGCCCAGACUCAUACGGGAGGCAGCAGUGGGGAAUAUUGCGCAAUGGACGAAAGUCUGACGCAGCGACGUCUCGUGAGGGACGAAGGUCUUCGGAUUGUAAACCUCUUUCAGCAGGGACGAAGCGAAAGUGACGGUACCUGCAGAAGAAGCACCGGCUAACUAUGUGCCAGCCGCCGCCGUAA